RNAcentral lists this ribosomal RNA (497 nucleotides) under uncultured bacterium. Its description in RNAcentral is "partial 16S ribosomal RNA". It matches the Rfam family "Bacterial small subunit ribosomal RNA", at positions 28 to 507 of the family's 1533-position model. The record is from RNAcentral.
GAUGAACGCUGGCGGCGUGCCUAAUACAUGCAAAUCGAGCGAACGGACGAGAAGCUUGCUUCUCUGAUGUUAGCGGCGGACGGGUGAGUAACACGUGGAUAACCUACCUAUAAGACUGGGAUAACUUCGGGAAACCGGAGCUAAUACCGGAUAAUAUUUUGAACCGCAUGGUUCAAAAGUGAAAGACGGUCUUGCUGUCACUUAUAGAUGGAUCCGCGCUGCAUUAGCUAGUUGGUAAGGUAGCGGCUUACCAAGGCAACGAUGCAUAGCCGACCUGAGAGGGUGAUCGGCCACACUGGAACUGAGACACGGUCCAGACUCCUACGGGAGGCAGCAGUAGGGAAUCUUCCGCAAUGGGCGAAAGCCUGACGGAGCAACGCCGCGUGAGUGAUGAAGGUCUUCGGAUCGUAAAACUCUGUUAUUAGGGAAGAACAUAUGUGUAAGUAACUGUGCACAUCUUGACGGUACCUAAUCAGAAAGCCACGGCUAACUACGUG